AGGGCCAAAGGCUCCAUGAUACUUUCUUCAAUGGCUUCUUCACAAGCUGCAUUAUCUGCAUUUCCUCUCACAAAUCCUGUGAUUCGCAAGAAGCCCUCUUCUUUUUCGUCUUCUUCGUCUUCGAAUUCUGUUCUAAAACCACUCGCCGUCGCGAAAGAGGUUCACUUUAACCGCGAUGGCUCUGUGACCAAGAAACUUCAGGCAGGUGCGGAUAUGGUGGCGGAGCUAUUGGGAGUGACUUUGGGUCCAAAGGGAAGAAACGUAGUGUUGCAGAACAAGUACGGAACUCCGAGAAUCGUCAAUGACGGUGAAACGGUUCUCAAAGAGAUUGAAUUGGAGGAUCCUUUGGAGAAUGUUGGAGUGAAACUUGUGAGGCAAGCGGGUGCUAAGACAAAUGACCUUGCCGGUGAUGGUUCCACGACGUCUAUAGUGCUUGCUCACGGGCUUAUUACCGAGGGAAUCAAGGUGGUUUCAGCUGGAACAAAUCCUGUCCAAGUUACCCGUGGCAUAGAAAAAACAGCAAAUGCCCUUGUUUCAGAGCUCAAAUCAAUGUCCAGAGAGGUCGAGGAUAACGAGCUUGCUGAUGUUGCAGCAGUUAGUGCGGGGAAUGACUAUGAGGUGGGAAACAUGAUUGCAGAUGCUCUUCGAAAAGUGGGGAGGACUGGUUUAGUAACAAUCGAGAAAGGAAAAUGCCUCGAGAACAGUCUUCAGAUUGUUGAGGGAAUGCAGUUCAAUCGUGGGUUUUUAUCCCCUUAUUUUGUCACCGAUCGUAGAAAGAUGGAAGCCGAGUUCCAUGACUGCAAGUUGCUUCUGGUCGACAGAAAGAUCACAAACCCAAAGGAGAUGUUCAAAAUAUUGGAUUCUGCAGUUAAAGAGGAUUUCCCGGUUCUGAUUGUUGCUGAGGACAUCGAGCAAGAGGCUCUUGCUCCAGUAAUCAGGAACAAACUUAAAGGCAACCUCAAGGCAGCAGCUAUCAAAGCUCCUGCCUUUGGUGAGCGUAAGAGCCACUGCUUGGACGAUCUAGCAAUCUUAACUGGAGCCACUGUGAUCAGAGACGAGAUGGGGAUGAGCUUAGAGAAGGCUGGAAAGGAGGUAUUAGGAACAGCAACAAGGAUUCUAGUGACUAAGGAUUCAACACUGAUCGUUACAGAUGGGAGCAACAGGGGAGCAGUUGAGGAAAGGGUUUGCCAGAUUAAAAAGCUAAUCGAGAAUACCGAGGGAAAUUUUCAGAAGAAUAUCCUCAAUGAAAGAGUAGCUAGAUUGGCGGGUGGAAUUGCUAUAAUCCGGGUUGGUGCCCAAACUCAAGUUGAGUUGAAGGAUAAACAGCUAAAGAUUGAAGAUGCCCUGAAUGCAACCAAGUCAGCAAUUGAAGAGGGAGUUGUGGUUGGCGGUGGCUGUGCUCUUCUUCGGUUGUCAUCAAAGGUGGACAGAAUCAAGGACAUUCUUGAAAACACAGAACAGAAGAUUGGAGCCGAGAUCUUCAAGAAAGCAUUAAGCUACCCGAUAAGAUUGAUAGCCAAGAAUGCAGGCGCGAAUGGCAAUAUCGUUGUUGAAAAGGUAUUGGCUAGUGAAAACGUGACGUAUGGGUACAACGCAGCGAAGAAUGUCUAUGAAGAUCUGAUGUUGGCUCGAAUUAUGGAUCCAACAAAGGUUGUGAGAUGUUGCCUGGAACAUGCAGCAUCUGUGGCUAAAACGUUUCUGACAUCGGAAGCUGUGGUGGUUGAGAUAAAAGAAAUCAGACCGAGGCCGAUCAUAAAUCCUCCAUUGCCAACUUCUUCAGCUUCACACAUCUUCCCCAGCAAAAGAAUGAAAAGGUUUCCUCCAAUCAUGGACAGGAAGACAAGCUUCCCUAUGAACCAGUUACUUGAUAUAACCAGACAACACUUGAAGAGACAAGAGUAGGGGCAUUGAUAUUGUAAAGCUCAAACAUUUAGUAAUGUGUAAAUCAUCAGUUCUUCACCUUUCAUCAUCAAAACCGGAAUCUUCAGAAACUUUCCUCACCAUAGAGUAGAAGCAAUCGAAGAAGAAGAAGAUGCUGUUGAUGGGGAUAAGUUUGCAGGCGGCGACGGAUCUGAUGGUCGCCGGAUUUUCUCUGAUGAUCGGAUUAGGAUUCUUCACUUUCAUCGCCUCCAUCCUCUGCUCCGCCGCCUUCCUCCACCACUCCAAAGACGUUUCUUGAUUCUCUCUGCCGCAAAACCCUCGCCGGAGGACUAUGUCCGUCGUCAAUUUCGACUUUUUUCUAAAACCCCGCCCGAUAAUCUACCAUUUGUAAGCUGAAGAACUCUAGAGAAAUGUAUUAUCUAUGGUCUUAUGUGAUCAGAAAUUGAAAUCUUUGAAAGUUUUUCCA
Tarenaya hassleriana is the source of this 2347-nucleotide RNA transcript. It is a transcript of the gene named chaperonin 60 subunit beta 4, chloroplastic, with no coding region annotated. The transcript is spliced from 14 exons. NCBI's taxonomy places the organism in Eukaryota, Viridiplantae, Streptophyta, Magnoliopsida, Brassicales, Cleomaceae. The record is from RefSeq and is a predicted model, not a curated record.